UUGUAAUGAUGUUGAUCAAAUGUCUGACCUGAAAUUAGCAUGUAGACAACUCUAACACUGAAGAA
Small nucleolar RNA from Myotis lucifugus (little brown bat), 65 nucleotides. The record is from Ensembl. NCBI's taxonomy places the organism in Eukaryota, Metazoa, Chordata, Mammalia, Chiroptera, Vespertilionidae.